AUUAUGAGGUACGGAAGCCCAUAAGUGCCAUUUUGUCUUAGGACUUUUGUCUUAUGACUAAUGACUUAUGUAUUAUGACUUUUGUCUUAUGUAUUAUGACUUGACAAAAAAGGCGGCAAAAAGGCAAGUUUCAUCACAUGCGCCCAUUAUGGCUGACGGAGGUAAAUCUGAUAGUGAAACAGAAGACAAUUUGGAAAAUGUGAGAAGAAAACGAAUUAAGGAGCUAGUUAAAAAUAUAGCAGGGCAAAAAAAAAGAAGAAGAAACAGCUUAUGAUGGAAAAUCCAAAAAAGAAACAGCGAGGUACUGGUAGACAUGCCAUAUAUAAGUUGCACCUUGGAUGGCUUCAUGAAACUCGUGGGAAGUUAAGACAAGUUACCGCACGGAGAGGAGGCGGUACAAGAAUAUACGAAUUUAAAAAAGAAGAAGAGCAAACUGUUCAGACAGUUAUAAAUUAUGCA
Molecule: long non-coding RNA, 459 nt
Organism: Ruditapes philippinarum (Manila clam)
Lineage: Eukaryota; Metazoa; Mollusca; Bivalvia; Venerida; Veneridae
Exons: 3
Source: RefSeq, a predicted model, not a curated record